This 30-nucleotide ribosomal RNA is filed under the name Curvularia geniculata. RNAcentral's name for it is "partial 18S ribosomal RNA". The record is from RNAcentral. Lineage: Eukaryota; Fungi; Ascomycota; Dothideomycetes; Pleosporales; Pleosporaceae.
GUCUCGUAGUGACCUGCGGAGGGAUGCAUU